CCUACGGGAGGCAGCAGUGGGGAAUAUUGGGCAAUGGGCGAAAGCCUGACCCAGCAACGCCGCGUGAAGGAAGAAGGCUCUCGGGUUGUAAACUUCUUUUGACAGGGAAGAGCAGAAGACGGUACCUGUCGAAUCAGCCACGGCUAACUACGUGCCAGCAGCCGCGGUAAUACGUAGGUGGCAAGCGUUUUCCGGAUUUACUGGGGGUAAAGGGCGUGUAGCCGGGCUGACAAGUCAGAUGUGAAAUCCGGGGGCUCAACCCCCGAACUGCAUUUGAAACUGUUGGUCUUGAGUAUCGGAGAGGCAGGCGGAAUUCCUAGUGUAGCGGUGAAAUGCGUAGAUAUUAGGAGGAACACCAGUGGCGAAGGCGGCCUGCUGGACGACAACUGACGGUGAGGCGCGAAAGCGUGGGGAGCAAACAGGAUUAGAUACCCCAGUAGUC
This 442-nucleotide ribosomal RNA is filed under the name uncultured bacterium. RNAcentral describes it as "partial 16S ribosomal RNA". It matches the Rfam family "Bacterial small subunit ribosomal RNA", at positions 338 to 795 of the family's 1533-position model. The record is from RNAcentral.